RNAcentral lists this ribosomal RNA (644 nucleotides) under Eucnemidae sp. UPOL RK0348. Its description in RNAcentral is "eukaryotic LSU rRNA". It matches the Rfam family "Eukaryotic large subunit ribosomal RNA", at positions 670 to 1259 of the family's 3401-position model. Lineage: Eukaryota; Metazoa; Arthropoda; Insecta; Coleoptera; Eucnemidae. The record is from RNAcentral.
GGAGUCUAGCAUGUGCGCGAGUCAUUGGGAUUUAUAAAUGAAACCUAAAGGCGCAAUGAAAGUAAAGGUAUACCUUUGUGUGUAUUUAGGGAAGAUGAGUUAUUCUAUGUAAUAGCUCCGCACUCCCGGGGCGUCUCUUUGUCUCUUGCUUUUUGUGAUGAGAUGAGGCGCACCUAGAGCGUACACGCUGGGACCCGAAAGAUGGUGAACUAUGCCUGGUCAGGACGAAGUCAGGGGAAACCCUGAUGGAGGUCCGUAGCGAUUCUGACGUGCAAAUCGAUCGUAAGAACUGGGUAUAGGGGCGAAAGACUAAUCGAACCAUCUAGUAGCUGGUUCCCUCCGAAGUUUCCCUCAGGAUAGCUGGCGUUUAUUUGUUAAGAGUCUCAUCCGGUAAAGCGAAUGAUUAGAGGCAUUGGGGUCGAAACGGCCUCAACCUAUUCUCAAACUUUAAAUGGGUGAGAUCUUCGGCUUGCUUAAAUAAUGAAGCCGUAAGAUUGGAUCAAAGUGCCAAGUGGGCCAUUUUUGGUAAGCAGAACUGGCGCUGUGGGAUGAACCAAACGUAGAGUUAAAGCGCCUAAAUUAACGCUUAUGGGAUACCAUGAAAGGCGUUGGUAACUUAAGACAGCAGGACGGUGGCCAUGGAA